Molecule: ribosomal RNA, 484 nt
Filed under: uncultured bacterium
Lineage: Bacteria
Description: partial 16S ribosomal RNA
Rfam family: Bacterial small subunit ribosomal RNA
Source: RNAcentral
AUUGAACGCUGGCGGCAGGCCUAACACAUGCAAGUCGAGCGGAUGAAGGGAGCUUGCUCCUGGAUUCAGCGGCGGACGGGUGAGUAAUGCCUAGGAAUCUGCCUGGUAGUGGGGGAUAACGUCCGGAAACGGGCGCUAAUACCGCAUACGUCCUGAGGGAGAAAGUGGGGGAUCUUCGGACCUCACGCUAUCAGAUGAGCCUAGGUCGGAUUAGCUAGUUGGUGGGGUAAAGGCCUACCAAGGCGACGAUCCGUAACUGGUCUGAGAGGAUGAUCAGUCACACUGGAACUGAGACACGGUCCAGACUCCUACGGGAGGCAGCAGUGGGGAGUAUUGGACAAUGGGCGAAAGCCUGAUCCAGCCAUGCUGCGUGUGUGAAGAAGGUCUUCGGAUUGUAAAGCACUUUAAGUUGGGAGGAAGGGCAGUAAGUUAAUACCUUGCUGUUUUGACGUUACCAACAGAAUAAGCACCGGCUAACUUCGUG